UCACAACCUGUUGUUUCUUGGAAGGGCUCCUGUGCCAGAACUGGAGCCAGGUGUUGCUCCGGUCAGCUGGCACGGACAGUUUGAACAACACACGAGCUACUCGAUAAUACCUCGCUGACGUGGCUGCCCAGGACGUCAGUCCCUGGCUAUGGAAACACACCUGGCUGCCAUUGCCUGGAGAGACUGCCAGGAUACCAAGGCUUUGUGAUAGCUGCAUGACGAGCUGUAAACACCAUCUGUGGUUCAUGCGAAGCUUCCUUCACCUCAAAACAAAAGCAAACACAGUUUCUUACCAAGACAGUUUGUUUGAGUGAAGUAUUAUUACUAAGUGACAGCACAACAUCUGUGCACCUACCACAAAAGGCCUCAACUUCAUUCCUUCCAUGUUAAAAGAAAGAAAAUGCCCCUGAGUGCCAAAGUAACCAGACUUCUCAUUAUGUUGGAAAAGCUGCCAAGUGUGACUGACAAAUGGAGCUAAAUAA
Molecule: long non-coding RNA, 482 nt
Filed under: Manacus vitellinus (golden-collared manakin)
Lineage: Eukaryota; Metazoa; Chordata; Aves; Passeriformes; Pipridae
Description: lncRNA (ENSMVIG00005003220.1)
Source: RNAcentral